GUUUCCGUAGGUGAACCUGCGGAAGGAUCAUUACUGAGUGAGGGCCCCUCGGGGUCCAACCUCCCACCCGUGUUUAACGAACCUUGUUGCUUCGGCGGGCCCGCCUCACGGCCGCCGGGGGGCAUCUGCCCCCGGGCCCGCGCCCGCCGAAGCCACCUGUGAACGCUGUCUGAAGUAUGCAGUCUGAGACAAUUAUUAAAUUAAUUAAAACUUUCAACAACGGAUCUCUUGGUUCCG
This 237-nucleotide unclassified non-coding RNA is filed under the name plant metagenome. Its description in RNAcentral is "partial contains small subunit ribosomal RNA, internal transcribed spacer 1, and 5.8S ribosomal RNA". The record is from RNAcentral.